AAAGUCGUAACAAGGUUUCCGUAGGUGAACCUGCGGAAGGAUCAUUACCAAAUCGUCGGCCUCAACGGCCGGUCCUAGGCGCGGGGGCCCUCCCCCCGCGCCCAAGGUUAAACCCCUUGUGAAAACCCCCCGUUGCUUCGGCGGCACCUCUGCUCCCCAGCGGAGGGUCAGCCCGCCGACGGCACCAAUUUUGAAACCCUUUUUCUUGAAAAGAAGAAUGUCUGAACCAAUGGUCGAAUGACUAUAAAACUUUCAACAACGGAUCUCUUGGUUCCC
This 276-nucleotide unclassified non-coding RNA is filed under the name Ascomycota sp. RNAcentral's name for it is "partial contains small subunit ribosomal RNA, internal transcribed spacer 1, and 5.8S ribosomal RNA". The stretch from base 1 to 47 matches the Rfam family "Eukaryotic small subunit ribosomal RNA", at positions 1785 to 1831 of the family's 1831-position model. Lineage: Eukaryota; Fungi; Ascomycota. The record is from RNAcentral.